AAAAAAAAAAAAGAAAAAGAAAACUGCUAUAGCACUACUGGAAAAGAGAGAGAAGGGUACCUGUCUACCAUUGACAUAUAAGAAAUGUAGAAGUUCUGGAGCAUGUGAAACACAGGGAACCACAUGAAGCCAAACUAAUCAGACUUGAAUAGCAGGGAAGAUCCUUCUAGGCUGGCUUAUCACCAUCUGGCUUAGAUUACCCCUGUUGGACAGAGCUCUGGUCCCAGAACAUUCCUAUGCUGCUAUCAGUCCCCAAAGAGCUCUUCUGGAGUUAAUGCACAAAUCUCUGGUUCAAUCAGUUGCCACUGAUUUAAUGGAGAGGCCACCUUUAAAAAAAUCUUACAGAGAAGAAGUGUGUUUUCCUUCACUUCAGGAAUCCUAAACGAGAGAAGGUGUGGGAGCAGAACUGGACCACAGAGGCUCCAACAAGCCGCAUCUCCCUCUCCACACCCCACUCGGUCCUAAGACUCCAGAGGCACACAUCAGACUCCCAAAGUCAGGAAGUGGGGGAUGUGAGGGGCCACUGUAGCUUCUUGUGUUGCAUGGCAACUAUCAACAAAAGGUGUAAACAAAAGCAUAUUGCAUUGCUUUGGCAGG
This is a long non-coding RNA of Cebus imitator (Panamanian white-faced capuchin), 597 nucleotides long. RefSeq lists it as uncharacterized. The transcript has 4 exons. The record is from RefSeq and is a predicted model, not a curated record. NCBI's taxonomy places the organism in Eukaryota, Metazoa, Chordata, Mammalia, Primates, Cebidae.